Molecule: transfer-messenger RNA, 351 nt
Filed under: Bacillota bacterium
Lineage: Bacteria; Bacillati; Bacillota
Also listed under: 1 other name
Description: Firmicutes bacterium (anaerobic digester metagenome) transfer-messenger RNA
Rfam family: transfer-messenger RNA
About the family: Bacterial tmRNA, also known as 10Sa RNA or SsrA, is named for its dual tRNA and mRNA-like properties. Its role is to liberate the mRNA from a stalled ribosome. To accomplish this part of the tmRNA is used as a reading frame that ends in a translation stop signal.
Source: RNAcentral
GGGGGCGUAAGGAUUCGACGGGGGUUGUGGGAGCAGGAGCUGCAGGUUCGGGACCAUGGCCCGGUUAAAACAUGGAACGGCUAUAAACGCCAACGAUAAUCUAGCUUACGCUGCUUAAUCAAGCAGUGCGUCCCCUCCCUUCCUGACCGGGGGCGGGAGCAGGGGCGUCGACAAACCGGUCUACCGCUGCAAGCGGUUGCUCCACCGCUGCAGGGGGAAUCACAACGGAGCCAGCAGCGAGGGAUCCCGCUCCGGGGAGCCGGCGCUGCGAGACAAAAACCGGAGCUAAACCUGUAGAGGUUUCUGUAGCCUGACCUUCGGACGCGGGUUCGAUUCCCGCCGCCUCCACCA